Molecule: ribosomal RNA, 466 nt
Filed under: uncultured bacterium
Lineage: Bacteria
Description: partial 16S ribosomal RNA
Rfam family: Bacterial small subunit ribosomal RNA
Source: RNAcentral
ACGAACGCUGGCGGCGUGCUUAACACAUGCAAGUCGAACGGAAAGGCCCUGCUUUUGUGGGGUGCUCGAGUGGCGAACGGGUGAGUAACACGUGAGUAACCUGCCCUUGACUUUGGGAUAACUUCAGGAAACUGGGGCUAAUACCGGAUAGGAGCUCCUGCUGCAUGGUGGGGGUUGGAAAGUUUCGGCGGUUGGGGAUGGACUCGCGGCUUAUCAGCUUGUUGGUGGGGUAGUGGCUUACCAAGGCUUUGACGGGUAGCCGGCCUGAGAGGGUGACCGGCCACAUUGGGACUGGGAUACGGCCCAGGCUCCUACGGGGGGCAGCAGGGGGGAAUAUUGCACAAUGGGCGGAAGCCUGAUGCAGCAACGCCGGGGGGGGGAGGCCGGCCUUCGGGUUGUAAACCGCUUUCGCCUGUGACGAAGCGUGGGUGACGGUAAUGGGUAAAGAAGCACCGGCUAACUACGU